RNAcentral lists this transfer RNA (77 nucleotides) under Alteromonadaceae bacterium. RNAcentral describes it as "tRNA-Pro". It matches the Rfam family "tRNA". Rfam says of the family: Transfer RNA (tRNA) molecules are approximately 80 nucleotides in length. Their secondary structure includes four short double-helical elements and three loops (D, anti-codon, and T loops). Lineage: Bacteria; Pseudomonadati; Pseudomonadota; Gammaproteobacteria; Alteromonadales; Alteromonadaceae. RNAcentral also lists the same sequence under 2 other names. The record is from RNAcentral.
CGGGGUGUAGCGCAGUCUGGUAGCGCGUGCGUCUGGGGGACGUGAGGUCGCAGGUUCAAGUCCUGCCACUCCGACCA